Long non-coding RNA from Papaver somniferum (opium poppy), 1955 nucleotides. RefSeq lists it as uncharacterized. NCBI's taxonomy places the organism in Eukaryota, Viridiplantae, Streptophyta, Magnoliopsida, Ranunculales, Papaveraceae. The record is from RefSeq and is a predicted model, not a curated record. The transcript has 4 exons.
GGAAGAAUAUAGUUCACCUCGAACAUAUCAGUUGAAACUUGAAACAAAGAAAAAGAAGAAGGGAGAAACGGCAGAUGUGGUGAUCUAGCCAUAUGAAAAAAAAUAUUAGAGAGAAUAAGCAAGGGAUUAAUUGGAUUUAUUGGUAGUUCAAUUUCUUCUUGAGAAGAUUGGACACUGGAUGCGCGAGAUCAAUACUAAGGAAAGUUUUCUUUUAGACUCUUUAUUAAAUCAGAUUUAGGAACAAUUUUAACUUGAAAAUCUAAAGAUCUGACAUACAAUUAGAAUUCAUGGUUUUUCCGUGUAGAAAUAAAUUUAAUAAAACCUAGUUUCAGUCAAGUAUGAGGUUGAUUUAUAUCGUCCGAUUUUUUUGAUCUACUUGGUUCUUGGUGAUUGUGUAUGGAUUUUUAACAGUGAUUCCUAAUACCUUGAUCAUGCAUUUUAUCGUACUAUUUGGGGUCAAUAGAAAGACAAACACUAUCUCGAACUAUUUCAAAUCACUUAGAUUCAUAAGUUGAGGCCUUGAUUGGAUUGUUAUAUUUAUUGAUAUUAUACAAUCAAGAAAUGGUUAUGAAAAUAAUUAUAUGCACUGAUCUAAUGGUUGAUUAAAUUAGAUUGGGUCACUGUUAUCGGUAUUCGAUAAAUGUUGUUGUGGUCGUAUAUUUUUCUUUAUGUGAACUGGGAGAAUGUCAUGUAUUACCUUUCCCGUGAAAUGUGGAAUUUCGAUCUCGGCAGCGCCCUUGAUGAAAAAUGACGAUUUUGCAUAUAUCAUUUUUAGCUUGCUCUACGAUUUGAUUGAUAAAUAAAUAUGUCUAGCUAACCAUGGGUUCAAAUAGGUCCUCUUUGUCAUUGUGUAAUAUCACAGGUGAGAAAGUUAGUGGAGUACCAGUGUGUGUUCCCUAAAUGGGAACUCUAUUGAGAUGUAUAUAUGAAGUGUUUAGUACAUUUCUGUGGAUUGGUUGGAAUGUUUUUCACAAUCUCUGCCUAACAGAGAUGUAUGUAUAUAUAUAUGAUGCAUUAUGUUUUUUUUUUUUUGUUGCGUAAAGUCGUUGUGUUCUUUGGAUGCUUGUAUUUAUGUUUUUCUAAAUAAUAUGCAAAUUUGAAUCUAUGAUGUUUAUAGAUGGAUGUUUUAGUAACUGUCGACGUUCAAAUUUUUGCACUUCUUUGUCUGUUGACAUAGUUGUAAUACAUAUCCAUUGAUCUAUAUAUAUUUGGUCCUUGUUCUUAAGCAUUCCCGUAUGUAGUGCACAUGUGUAAUUAUUUAGACUUAGUAGCUAGUUUAACUGAACUGUUAAAUGCUUAAACUCUUUCUCGUAAGUAAAUUUCUAAAAUAUGGUAGUGUAUAGUCUAUAUUCACUGUGUUUUAUUCUUAGUUUGGCCACUGUCCUUGAUGGUUAAAUUGUAUUUCUAACUCUCGUUUAAUGAGGAGACUAUGGAGAACUUGCUCAGAUUUUAACUCAUGUUGCUCAUUUUACAGGUUUUUCUUUAGAGAAUCAAAGAUAAGGAAUGGAUAAGGAGAUAAUUACCUGAGAUGUUUUCUGGGAGAUUGAGCUUUCGCGGAUGUGUUCCGGAUAUUGGACUUCUGUGGAUGUGUUCCGAAGAUAUGGACUUUCGCGGAUGUGUACCAGUGUACUGAUGGGAUCCUUGGUUUACUACUGCCAAGUGGGUAGGUAAAGUCUCUUAUUGAACUAGGACAUGCGACACCAAGGAUCAGAAAGACCAAGACAUGGUAAAAUUGUUUGACUCGAUUCACUACUGAGAGGUGUUUCAGAUUUUCAGGAUAAGGAACAUGGGGUGUUAUGUUUGUGUACUUAAUUCUUUGAGUUAGCUGAUUAAUCAUAUAAUUGUCGAUGAUUAAUAAUUUUAUGUGCAAUGAGGUUAUCAUCAACUUAAUAGAUUUUGACUUGAUAAAUUUGGAAUUUAUAGUAUUGUUGACUAGGUUGACACAUAUUUUCAUA